AUUUCAUUAAGAUACCUCACAUACCAUCAAUGCGGUAUAAAGUCACUCAGAUUUUCGAAAAUUUUUGAUUUAUUUUUAUAUUGAUAGUAGGCAUGGUUGUAAUACGAUUUCAAUUUUUGUACUGUGACAUAGGAAUUUUAAAAGAAUCUUACGUACCGAAUUUGGUUGAAAUCGGUUGGGCAGGUCCAGAGAGCCCUCUUGUGCCAUCCAGGAUGUAAAAUGUAAUGUCUCUGACGCAUUUAGUUGUUGAUUCAACGCACAAUCAACAACCUUCAAGUGGAAUGAAGUUUAAUUAGCUGUCUUCUUUUAUGAAGAUCUUUAUCUUGAUUUUAAUCGCGUUGCGUUGGGCAAUAAUUUAUCCAAAAUGUCGUGAAUAUAUCUUAUCAAAUAUAAAUAUUUUCAAAACAAGAAUCUGAUUUUGUUCGACCAGUUUGCAGCGAUAUCCUAUAGUGGUCAUAUAUCGGCGCUUCUGGGAAGAAAUGCGCAAAAUUUCAGAUCGAUACUUCAAAAUUGUUAGAGACUUCACGUAUAUACUGAUGGACGAACAUGGCUAAAUCGACUCAGUUACGCUGAUAAUUAUAUAUAUAUUUUAACGAAUCUUGAGGAAAACAACGACACUUCUUCACCUUUUUUAGAAAGCACAACAAUUGGUCAGAUAAUUGCAUAUAUUUAUACUCUUGCAACAUGUAUGUUUGCAUCACCUAAAACUAAUCGAGUUAGAUAUAGGGUCGAAAUUUAUGAUAUUUUAAUGAAAUUAAGUGGAAACGUUUUUUUAAAGGUUAUAUUAAUGGUUUGGCGCUCAAUAUACCAUAAAUGUAAUUGGCCUCAGUCUGAACCUCAUAUCAAUAUGCUAAAUUUUAGCCUCUUCGGUUGACUUUAUAUCACUUAUUAAUCUUUGAAGGAUGAUUUUAAUAUAAUUUUUGCUGACUGGAACUAAAAUAUAUUAAUACAAAUAAGUGACUCUCAAGAUUUGUUAAUAAUAUACCAAAUUUGAUUGUAAUCCAUUCAUCAUUUCGUUGAAAAAUGAAACUGAACCAUUUCGCUACAUUUUUUAAUAUUGCCAACACCUGAAGGUAUUUCCCCGGCUUUGAUCCUUGCAGGUUGCAAGAGUAUAAAAUGUUCGGUUACAACCGAAAUUAGCCUCUCCUUACUUGUUUCUAUACAGUUUUUUGUUCUUCAAACCUAAAUUAAGGACACGUAAGUUAACUAUUUAAAUCGAGGGCCCAUUUAGAUCGACUUCGAAAAUUAAUAAACACAAUAAAUAACUCAACAAGCAUUCCUCAAAUUAUUAUUUAUAUAUAUGAACCAUUUGAAUACAAUUCCCUGAACUUUAAAUUAUAAAAUAUUCAAUUCGAUUUGUAUGUGUAACUAUUUCCUUACCAAUUGUGUUUACUGUAAAAACAACAAUAUUUUCAAUAAAUAUUAUUUAUUAUUAUUA
This is a long non-coding RNA of Bactrocera oleae (olive fruit fly), 1438 nucleotides long. RefSeq lists it as uncharacterized. The record is from RefSeq and is a predicted model, not a curated record. Lineage: Eukaryota; Metazoa; Arthropoda; Insecta; Diptera; Tephritidae.